GACGAACGCUGGCGGCGCGCCUAACACAUGCAAGUCGAACGGAGUCUAUGAAACAAUCACUUCGGUGUGCGUUUUAUAGUACUUAGUGGCGGACGGGUGAGUAACACGUGAGCAACCUACCCUGGAGUGGGGAAUAACAUUCGGAAACGGAUGCUAAUACCGCAUGAAGUCAGUUGAAGGCAUCUUCGAUUGACCAAAGAUUUAUUGCUCUGGGAUGGGCUCGCGCCUGAUUAGAUAGUUGGUGAGGUAAUGGCUCACCAAGUCAACGAUCAGUAGCCGGACUGAGAGGUUGAUCGGCCACAUUGGGACUGAGACACGGCCCAGACUCCUACGGGAGGCAGCAGUGGGGGAUAUUGCACAAUGGAGGGAACUCUGAUGCAGCGACGCCGCGUGAAUGAAGGAGGUUUUCGGAUCGUAAAGUUCUGUUCUAAGGGAAGAUAAUGACGGUACCUUAGAAGAAAGCCCGGCUAACUACGUGCCAGCCGCCGCAGUAA
Molecule: ribosomal RNA, 494 nt
Filed under: uncultured Oscillospiraceae bacterium
Lineage: Bacteria; Bacillati; Bacillota; Clostridia; Eubacteriales; Oscillospiraceae
Description: bacterial SSU rRNA
Rfam family: Bacterial small subunit ribosomal RNA
Source: RNAcentral